UACGUAGGGUGCGAGCGUUGUCCGGAAUUACUGGGCGUAAAGAGCUCGUAGGUGGUUUGUCGCGUUGUUCGUGAAAUCUCACAACUCAAUUGUGAGCGUGCGGGCGAUGCGGGCAGACUGGAGUACUGCAGGGGAGACUGGAAUUCCUGGUGUAGCGGUGGAAUGCGCAGAUAUCAGGAGGAACACCGGUGGCGAAGGCGGGUCUCUGGGCAGUAACUGACGCUGAGGAGCGAAAGCGUGGGGAGCGAACAGG
RNAcentral lists this ribosomal RNA (253 nucleotides) under uncultured bacterium. RNAcentral's name for it is "partial 16S ribosomal RNA". It matches the Rfam family "Bacterial small subunit ribosomal RNA", at positions 524 to 776 of the family's 1533-position model. The record is from RNAcentral.